Molecule: long non-coding RNA, 1112 nt
Organism: Peromyscus maniculatus bairdii (prairie deer mouse)
Lineage: Eukaryota; Metazoa; Chordata; Mammalia; Rodentia; Cricetidae
Source: RefSeq, a predicted model, not a curated record
AACUCAGCACAUUCCUUCCCGUCUGUGCCGGACCAUCACAAUGACUGACCGUGUGUAUACACUAGCUGGAGUCUCCUACCUGCAACAGCUAGUGCCCCCUCAAGCCACUGUCACUCCACAUACCGGGCAUCCUUUGGCUUAGAUGGUGGCAUGGUUUUGAGGCUGAUAUAUGUGUCACCCCUCCUCCACUCCCUAGAGGUGGGGUGUAGACAAUUAAGGUACCAAAUAUCUUUAGGAUAUGUACUGACUAAAGGUAGAAUGUUGAUUUUGUUUCUUUGGGCUGGCUAGCAAGCAGUGCAGUAUAAAUGGCUCAUAGUUCAUGCAUUAGGGAGUGGAGAUCAAGACAGAGAUGAAUCCUCUCUACCAGAAUUCUGCUUCCAUGACUAGCAGCUGUCUUGAUGAUUUUCACUUCCCAAAGGUUCCUUUAUUUAACAACAAGGUUGAAUGAUGCCUGAGAUCAGGGCUGGCCUGAGAUAGCUGUACAUCAUGGCCAACUAAUUAUUUAAUGUUUUUUCAAAAUCCAAAUUUCAGAUAAAAUCUGUGUAUCUUUUUCUGCAAAUUCAUGAGAUGAACUUGAGGGUAGUUUAAUAUUUCUACUGUGAUGGGAGAUUUUCCCUCUGACAGUCCUCCCUCCCCGACUUGGUUGUGAUGGGAUGGGGCCUGUUAUGAACGCUUGGAAAAAUCUUGACCCAGAGAACUUGAACUGAGACACACAUAGUUCUAUUUUACCAGUUCAGCUUCGAAGAAGGAUGUCAUCAGGAAGCUGCCCUUCAGAAGACUGGCACGUCUCACCCACGGCCCUCAGUUGGUAAAAAUCUUCCCAGGGCCUUCUGCCUUGUUCUAAUGGCUGUAGUUUCUAAGUGUGAUCACAGUCCCUUUGGAACCCCACCCAGAUGCCUUCUAAGUCCUUUGGAGGAAGAGAAGAGAACAUCUGGCUGUCUUCUAUGCAUAGAAGUAGGCUACAAAGGGUAAAUGAAAGGACGUUUUCUCCACCUACUCAGUCCAGGCAACCCAGUUUACUUCCAGAGAAAAGAAAAAAAAGGAAUGAAGACAUCAUCACUCUGUUGAUUUGCGCACAUGUAACCACGAUGCCUUGAGUCUGGGUUGCAUGG